Molecule: long non-coding RNA, 1770 nt
Filed under: Phoenix dactylifera (date palm)
Lineage: Eukaryota; Viridiplantae; Streptophyta; Magnoliopsida; Arecales; Arecaceae
Description: long non-coding RNA (PDAC_LNC009954)
Source: RNAcentral
AUUAGAUUUUAUAAAACAGUAAAUAAAUUCUUUAGGUAGCGACAGCAGUUUGUGGGUAUCUGAGCCGGAAACCCUCACGAGACAAAACUCGUCCACUAGGGCCAUCUAGGGGUUUAAAGCCUUAUUGCAUACGGUCAAUGCAAUCGCGAUUCCUGCGAAAGUGAGUUAGUUUUUAUUUUGCUUGAGGACUAGCAAAAUGUAGGUUGGGGGGUGUGAUAAGUGCUAAAUAAUGCAUAAAUUAAUAUCUUAUUCAUAGCACUUAUCAUUAUUUUAAUUCACAUAUUUUGUAAAGUUAACCAUAAAAGAUGUAUUACCCUCAUCAUUGCAUUUUAAUAAAUUAAUUCGAGUUUGAUUUAAUUAUUUAUUAAUUGAGUCUAAUAUAUACAGGUCGAGUCAAAUUCAUUUGGGAUGAUCCCUGGACCCGAAUCACAUGCAUCCCGCAAAUUAGAUCCUCUCAUAUUCUGAUUCAGCCAUCUCCUUUCAGAUCAUGUCCACCGUCUGCGCAUAUCCAGGAUCAUCCUCCUUUAUCCGGAUUACUUCUUUUGAAUCUAAAGAAUAGAGUUCAUCCACAGGAUGAACCCAAAUCCCAGCUACUCCGCGAUUGAGCAGCAUUACUUCCGUUCGUGAGAUCAGCAUCCGGAUUAACUUCAUCUUCCGAAUCCCCUGUUCCCACUGAAUCAAGACUCAUCCGUACCCAAGCUAUCCGCCAAGUCCAACUCUCCUUGCUUCAGCGGAACAGGGCCACGUCUUUCAUCUUCAUCUCCUCUGCUUCCGGAUUCCUCCACGUCCAGCCAAUGGCUGCAUCCCAACCCGGAUGAGCUCGGAUCGGAUUAAUCCCAACCAACUGCAAGUAAUCUCCUAGCAUCCUUAUCUCCUUCUACAUCCAAACUUCCCAGAUUAAGCCGCGUCCACGUUUGAGCACAGAUUCCAUCCUUUCCGUGAUCAACUCCAUCUUCUUCCCCUGUUCCGCAUCCAAAGAUUUCCUCCCAGCUCGCAUCCAACCAUUUCAUCCUUCCACAAAAUCCCAAGCAACUCCUUCAACUGUAAUCAUCUCUCUUGCAUCCACGUCAACAGUCCCCGUGAUCAGCUCUCGCAUGCAUUCCGUGGUUCAACUUCAUCCAUCCAGCCAUCGGGACCAAAAGCCAGCAUCUACAACACGACCGGAGAUCAAGCAAAAAUCCCAGCACCUCAUGCACGGACAUGAUCCAUCUUUCCCAACAACCUCACGCGUCUUCUCCGCGAGUCAUCCUCAUCUCCUCUCAGCCGUGAGCGUUCACAUGAUCCUCUGCAUCCUUAUCCUUGAUUCAAAAGAGGGGAGAAGAGAGACGUGGCAGGCUAUAAAAAGGGAGUCGAUUCUUCCUUUUCACGAUAGAGGGGGGACUGCACCCAUCCCUUCUUCCCCCAUCGGGGGCUGAUCUCUUCGCUGGAGAAGCUACUCACAGGCCAAGUUCCCACGGGAAAUAGAGGAGGGAGAAAAGUUUGGAUAUUUUGGGAAUGAUUUCCCAAAGAAAAAAAAUAAGAAUGAAGUGCUGAGGGAAAGGAAGCCGAUCGUGAUGCAAAUGGAAGCCCGCUGCUGUGCCACUGCUGCUGUCGCCCACAACUCCAUGAAAGGCUGAUCUUCGCUCUAGGGCUGGAUGCAGCCCUAAUAAAGGGCCAAGGGUUUUAUAUUUUAAUUUUCUAUUCCUGGAGUUGUAUAAACUUUAUUUUGCUCCUAAUGAAUAUUUUAUUUCAUCUCAUAUUUAAUUUCUGUGAUUUUAAGUAUGACGUUUA